GUUGCAUUGUUGUUGAUGACAUUCGUCCUAAGGUGAUGUGGUGUCAAGUUGCUUGGUAUUCUACUUUUAAGCUUUUCGAGCUUGAAACUUGUGGAUAAUCGGUUGGCGAUAGGCAUCACUCCCUUGGUCGAUGAAAGUCGUCCAAUGAUGUGGUGGUUUGUUUAUUUAGUUCUCGCAUCGUUCGGUGCAUUCUGUGGUCAUUUUGGCUAUUAGCGGCUUGCUUGGCAAUUGGGCUUUGUGGGUGGCUACUAGUAGGGUGUCUUCGGGGAUGUCUACCGUAAAGGUGCAUGAGUGGUGUUUGGUUUGUUACGGGUGGUUGGCUCUUUGCUUGCGCAACAACUUCCACCUGGCUUACCUCUUCAGGCUUGUGUCAAUGCUUUUAUUGCAUUGAAUACACGAUGGGUUUCUUGUGUUGCAUGCCUAAUUAAUGGUAUCGUUUGAUGAAUUGGUUUCCCUAUUCGUCUUGCUUCGCGUAUGUGAUGUGAGAUGAACCUUGAAUCAACCUUUGUGAUCCACACNUUUUGAUGCAUUUGCAUUGAUUUUGUGGCCCAUUAAGUGUUGGUCGGUCUCAUGGAUAUGGAACAUGGUGUGGGCAUGGNAAUCUUAAUGGUUCCUUGUUUGCCCAARGUUUAGCUUUUCUAAAACGAUUGUCUAUCA
This 657-nucleotide unclassified non-coding RNA is filed under the name Helichrysum micropoides. RNAcentral describes it as "partial external transcribed spacer". Lineage: Eukaryota; Viridiplantae; Streptophyta; Magnoliopsida; Asterales; Asteraceae. The record is from RNAcentral.